This 77-nucleotide transfer RNA is filed under the name Bacteroidales bacterium. RNAcentral's name for it is "tRNA-Asn". It matches the Rfam family "tRNA". Rfam says of the family: Transfer RNA (tRNA) molecules are approximately 80 nucleotides in length. Their secondary structure includes four short double-helical elements and three loops (D, anti-codon, and T loops). Further hydrogen bonds mediate the characteristic L-shaped molecular structure. tRNAs have two regions of fundamental functional importance: the anti-codon, which is responsible for specific mRNA codon recognition, and the 3' end, to which the tRNAs corresponding amino acid is attached (by aminoacyl-tRNA synthetases). tRNAs cope with the degeneracy of the genetic code in two manners: having more than one tRNA (with a specific anti-codon) for a particular amino acid; and 'wobble' base-pairing, i.e. permitting non-standard base-pairing at the 3rd anti-codon position. Lineage: Bacteria; Pseudomonadati; Bacteroidota; Bacteroidia; Bacteroidales. The record is from RNAcentral.
UCCUCAGUAGCUCAGUAGGUUAGAGCAUCUGGCUGUUAACCAGAGGGCCGUAGGUUCGAGUCCUACCUGAGGAGCCA